UGAGGAAUAUUGGACAAUGGGUGGAAGCCUGAUCCAGCCAUCCCGCGUGAAGGAUGACGGUCCUAUGGAUUGUAAACUUCUUUUGUACAGGGAUAAACCUGCCCUCGUGAGGGCAGCUGAAGGUACUGUACGAAUAAGCACCGGCUAACUCCGUGCCAGCAGCCGCGGUAAUACGGAGGGUGCGAGCGUUAUCCGGAUUUAUUGGGUUUAAAGGGUCCGUAGGCGGGCCUGUAAGUCAGUGGUGAAAUCUCAUAGCUUAACUAUGAAACUGCCAUUGAUACUGCAGGCCUUGAGUAAAUUUGAAGUGGCUGGAAUAAGUAGUGUAGCGGUGAAAUGCAUAGAUAUUACUUAGAACACCGAUUGCGAAGGCAGGUCACUAAGAUUUAACUGACGCUGAUGGACGAAAGCGUGGGGAGCGAACA
RNAcentral lists this ribosomal RNA (422 nucleotides) under uncultured bacterium. RNAcentral describes it as "bacterial SSU rRNA". It matches the Rfam family "Bacterial small subunit ribosomal RNA", at positions 355 to 774 of the family's 1533-position model. The record is from RNAcentral.